RNAcentral lists this ribosomal RNA (205 nucleotides) under uncultured Lachnospiraceae bacterium. RNAcentral's name for it is "partial 16S ribosomal RNA". It matches the Rfam family "Bacterial small subunit ribosomal RNA", at positions 292 to 513 of the family's 1533-position model. Lineage: Bacteria; Bacillati; Bacillota; Clostridia; Lachnospirales; Lachnospiraceae. The record is from RNAcentral.
CUGAGAGGGUGACCGGCCACAUUGGGACUUGAGACACGGCCCAAACUCCUACGGGAGGCAGCAGUGGGGAAUAUUGCACAAUGGGCGAAAGCCUGAUGCAGCGACGCCGCGUGAGCGAAGAAGUAUUUCGGUAUGUAAAGCUCUAUCAGCAGGGAAGAUAAUGACGGUACCUGACUAAGAAGCACCGGCUAAAUACGUGCCAGCA